Non-coding RNA from Mycena belliarum, 90 nucleotides. NCBI's taxonomy places the organism in Eukaryota, Fungi, Basidiomycota, Agaricomycetes, Agaricales, Mycenaceae. The record is from the annotation of a GenBank genome assembly.
AGCAGCAUGGCGCAGAUGGAAGCGCGCGGGGCCCAUAUAUCUUGAGAAAGUGAAACCCCGAGGUCACUCGAUCGAAACGAGUUGCUGCUA